AACGAACGCUGGCGGCAGGCUUAACACAUGCAAGUCGAACGCCCCGCAAGGGGAGUGGCAGACGGGUGAGUAACGCGUGGGAAUCUACCUAGUUCUACGGAACAACAGUUGGAAACGACUGCUAAUACCGUAUACGCCCUACGGGGGAAAGAUUUAUCGGAAUUAGAUGAGCCCGCGUAAGAUUAGCUAGUUGGUGGGGUAAUGGCCUACCAAGGCGACGAUCUUUAGCUGGUCUGAGAGGAUGAUCAGCCACACUGGGACUGAGACGCGGCCCAGACUCCUACGGGAGGCAGCAGUGGGGAAUAUUGGACAAUGGGCGCAAGCCUGAUCCAGCCAUGCCGCGUGAGUGAUGAAGGCCUUAGGGUUGUAAAGCUCUUUCACCGAUGAAGAUAAUGACGGUAGUCGGAGAAGAAGCCCCGGCUAACUUCGUGCCAGCAGCCGCAGUAA
RNAcentral lists this ribosomal RNA (447 nucleotides) under uncultured bacterium. RNAcentral describes it as "partial 16S ribosomal RNA". It matches the Rfam family "Bacterial small subunit ribosomal RNA", at positions 29 to 523 of the family's 1533-position model. The record is from RNAcentral.